This 657-nucleotide long non-coding RNA is filed under the name Piliocolobus tephrosceles (Ugandan red Colobus). RNAcentral's name for it is "lncRNA (ENSPTEG00000009549.1)". Lineage: Eukaryota; Metazoa; Chordata; Mammalia; Primates; Cercopithecidae. The record is from RNAcentral.
CUAGGGAAGCAUUCUUUUUUGCUCAUCGUGAUUUCUGUGUGAUUCCUCCUGUUUUCUGAGCCUGUCACCCCCUUCCUCUUCCCUUGCCUCUCCACUGGGACUUUCCAGAGUGCAGCCACCUCCCCUCGCUGUGCUUCUGUGACUCUGAGGCCCAGGAGGAAGUUGCCCUGUUCUGGAGAGGGUUCACGUUUGAUCCAGCCUAGUGUUCUGGGGCACGGCCAGUCUGGGACCGCUUUGACCCUCAUUCACGGUUUCCCUUCAGAUACUUCUUGUUUGGCCUGCCUUCCUCGUCUAGGAAAUGGAUUUUUCUCAUUUUUCUAUUGAGUCACUUGUUUUGUUGGUAUGGAGUUGUAGGAGGUGUUUCUGAAUUCUGCCUCAAACCCCAUGUUGGUUUUUUGUAUUUCAGAGACCUCGUCCGCUCAGGGGCUUGUUCUUCGUCUCUUUGCAGGGCUGUUUUGGACUCAGUAUUCACCUAAGCACUCCGAAUUAGGAUUCCCGCGCUGGAUCUCUGAGGGACGCUGGCGCCCUCUCUCCAGCACGUUCCUGAUGCCCUUGCUGACGCAUGUGUCCUCUGGGCCCUCUCCUGAAACGUCAUCCUCCAGGGUGUCUUCUGGCCUCACCUCUUCUGUCCAGUUCCAGCAAGCUCACUUUGCUUAG